This 465-nucleotide ribosomal RNA is filed under the name Vreelandella stevensii. Its description in RNAcentral is "partial 16S ribosomal RNA". It matches the Rfam family "Bacterial small subunit ribosomal RNA", at positions 338 to 795 of the family's 1533-position model. Lineage: Bacteria; Pseudomonadati; Pseudomonadota; Gammaproteobacteria; Oceanospirillales; Halomonadaceae. The record is from RNAcentral.
CCUACGGGCGGCUGCAGUGGGGAAUAUUGGACAAUGGGCGAAAGCCUGAUCCAGCCAUGCCGCGUGUGUGAAGAAGGCCUUCGGGUUGUAAAGCACUUUCAGUGGGGAAGAAAGCCUUGGGGCUAAUACCCUCGAGGAAGGACAUCACCCACAGAAGAAGCACCGGCUAACUCCGUGCCAGCAGCCGCGGUAAUACGGAGGGUGCGAGCGUUAAUCGGAAUUACUGGGCGUAAAGCGCGCGUAGGCGGUCUGAUAAGCCGGUUGUGAAAGCCCCGGGCUCAACCUGGGAACGGCAUCCGGAACUGUCAGGCUAGAGUGCAGGAGAGGAAGGUAGAAUUCCCGGUGUAGCAGUGAAAUGCGUAGAGAUCGGGAGGAAUACCAGUGGCGAAGGCGGCCUUCUGGACUGACACUGACGCUGAGGUGCGAAAGCGUGGGUAGCAAACAGGAUUAGAUACCCUUGUAGUC